GUGGAGGACAUGUUGCAUCAGCUGGUGGUGGAAUUUCAGCAAUGACUGGAGCAGGAGGAGAAGCUCCUGGUGGUGGAGCUGGAGGACGAGGUGGUGGAGCUCAUGGAGGAGCUGGAAGAGG
RNAcentral lists this small RNA (121 nucleotides) under Caenorhabditis elegans. RNAcentral's name for it is "Unclassified non-coding RNA Y116A8C.473". Lineage: Eukaryota; Metazoa; Nematoda; Chromadorea; Rhabditida; Rhabditidae. The record is from RNAcentral.